RNAcentral lists this transfer RNA (74 nucleotides) under Micromonospora zamorensis. RNAcentral's name for it is "tRNA-Glu". It matches the Rfam family "tRNA". From Rfam's summary of the family: Transfer RNA (tRNA) molecules are approximately 80 nucleotides in length. Their secondary structure includes four short double-helical elements and three loops (D, anti-codon, and T loops). Further hydrogen bonds mediate the characteristic L-shaped molecular structure. tRNAs have two regions of fundamental functional importance: the anti-codon, which is responsible for specific mRNA codon recognition, and the 3' end, to which the tRNAs corresponding amino acid is attached (by aminoacyl-tRNA synthetases). tRNAs cope with the degeneracy of the genetic code in two manners: having more than one tRNA (with a specific anti-codon) for a particular amino acid; and 'wobble' base-pairing, i.e. permitting non-standard base-pairing at the 3rd anti-codon position. The record is from RNAcentral. Lineage: Bacteria; Bacillati; Actinomycetota; Actinomycetes; Micromonosporales; Micromonosporaceae. RNAcentral also lists the same sequence under 2 other names.
GGGCCGUUGGAGCAAGCUGGCAGCUCACCUGGUUCUCAGCCAGGAGGUUACGGGUUCGAGCCCCGUACGGCCUG